CACGUAGGGGGCAAGCGUUGUCCGGAUUCAUUGGGCGUAAAGAGCUCGUAGGCGGUUCGAUAAGUCGGGGGUGAAACCUCCAGGCUCAACCUGGAGACGCCACCCGAUACUGUCGUGACUAGAGUCCAGUAGGGGAGCGUGGAAUUCCUGGUGUAGCGGUGAAAUGCGCAGAUAUCAGGAGGAACACCAGCGGCGAAGGCGGCGCUCUGGGCUGGAACUGACGCUGAGGAGCGAAAGCGUGGGGAGCGAACAAG
RNAcentral lists this ribosomal RNA (254 nucleotides) under uncultured bacterium. RNAcentral's name for it is "partial 16S ribosomal RNA". It matches the Rfam family "Bacterial small subunit ribosomal RNA", at positions 524 to 776 of the family's 1533-position model. The record is from RNAcentral.